AGUAGUCUUUUAAUUGGAGGCUUGUAUGAAUGGUUGGACGAGGUAUAUACUGUCUUAAAUAAAUAUAUAGUAGAAUUUUACUUUUUAGUUAAAAGGCUAAAAUAAAAUUGAAGGACGAGAAGACCCUAUAAAGCUUUAUAAUAUUUUUAUAUAAUUUAUUUAGAAAAAGUAAAAUUUAAUAAUUUUAUAUUAUUUUGUUGGGGUGACAAUAAGAUUUAAUGAACUCUUAUAUAUACACAAUACAUUGAUUUAUGAAUAAUUGAUCCAGUUUUAUUGAUUAAAAAUUUAAGUUACUUUAGGGAUAACAGCGUAAUUUUCUUUGAGAGUUCUUAUCGACAAGAAAGAUUGC
Molecule: ribosomal RNA, 349 nt
Filed under: Ptychoptera albimana
Lineage: Eukaryota; Metazoa; Arthropoda; Insecta; Diptera; Ptychopteridae
Description: partial 16S ribosomal RNA
Source: RNAcentral